CCAGACUCCUACGGGAGGCAGCAGUGGGGGAUAUUGCACAAUGGGGGAAACCCUGAUGCAGCGACGCCGCGUGAGGGAAGACGGCCUUCGGGUUGUAAACCUCUGUCGCAGGGGACGAAGGAAGUGACGGUACCCUGUGAGGAAGCCACGGCUAACUACGUGCCAGCAGCCGCGGUAAUACGUAGGUGGCAAGCGUUAUCCGGAUUUACUGGGUGUAAAGGGCGUGUAGGCGGGACUGCAAGUCAGAUGUGAAAAUUAUGGGCUCAACCCAUAACCUGCAUUUGAAACUGUAGUUCUUGAGUGAUGGAGAGGCAGGCGGAAUUCCGUGUGUAGCGGUGAAAUGCGUAGAUAUACGGAGGAACACCAGUGGCGAAGGCGGCCUGCUGGACAUUAACUGACGCUGAGGCGCGAAAGCGUGGGGAGCAAACAGGAUUAGAUACCCGUGUAG
This 448-nucleotide ribosomal RNA is filed under the name uncultured bacterium. Its description in RNAcentral is "bacterial SSU rRNA". It matches the Rfam family "Bacterial small subunit ribosomal RNA", at positions 331 to 793 of the family's 1533-position model. The record is from RNAcentral.